UAUGGGGUUCAAUUGGUAUAAAGUUUCAAUUAUGUAAGAUGAACAAGUUCUACAGAUCUAGUUUACAACAUAGUGCCUAUAGUUAACAAUACUCUGUUGCACACUUA
This is a long non-coding RNA of Lynx canadensis (Canada lynx), 107 nucleotides long. RefSeq lists it as uncharacterized. Lineage: Eukaryota; Metazoa; Chordata; Mammalia; Carnivora; Felidae. The transcript is spliced from 4 exons. The record is from RefSeq and is a predicted model, not a curated record.